UACGAAGGGUGCAAGCGUUAAUCGGAAUUACUGGGCGUAAAGCGCGCGUAGGUGGUUCAGCAAGUUGGAUGUGAAAUCCCCGGGCUCAACCUGGGAACUGCAUCCAAAACUACUGAGCUAGAGUACGGUAGAGGGUGGUGGAAUUUCCUGUGUAGCGGUGAAAUGCGUAGAUAUAGGAAGGAACACCAGUGGCGAAGGCGACCACCUGGACUGAUACUGACACUGAGGUGCGAAAGCGUGGGGGAGCAAACAGG
RNAcentral lists this ribosomal RNA (254 nucleotides) under uncultured bacterium. RNAcentral describes it as "partial 16S ribosomal RNA". It matches the Rfam family "Bacterial small subunit ribosomal RNA", at positions 524 to 776 of the family's 1533-position model. The record is from RNAcentral.